RNAcentral lists this transfer RNA (74 nucleotides) under Mycobacterium antarcticum. RNAcentral describes it as "tRNA-Thr". It matches the Rfam family "tRNA". Rfam says of the family: Transfer RNA (tRNA) molecules are approximately 80 nucleotides in length. Their secondary structure includes four short double-helical elements and three loops (D, anti-codon, and T loops). Lineage: Bacteria; Bacillati; Actinomycetota; Actinomycetes; Mycobacteriales; Mycobacteriaceae. The record is from RNAcentral.
GCCUCCUUAGCUCAGUGGUAGAGCUCCCGUCUUGUAAACGGAAGGUCCUCGGUUCAAUCCCGAGAGGAGGCCCC